This 502-nucleotide ribosomal RNA is filed under the name Stenotrophomonas sp. Its description in RNAcentral is "bacterial SSU rRNA". It matches the Rfam family "Bacterial small subunit ribosomal RNA", at positions 25 to 514 of the family's 1533-position model. The record is from RNAcentral. Lineage: Bacteria; Pseudomonadati; Pseudomonadota; Gammaproteobacteria; Lysobacterales; Lysobacteraceae.
CAGAGUGAACGCUGGCGGUAGGCCUAACACAUGCAAGUCGAACGGCAGCACAGUAAGAGCUUGCUCUUAUGGGUGGCGAGUGGCGGACGGGUGAGGAAUACAUCGGAAUCUACCUUUUCGUGGGGGAUAACGUAGGGAAACUUACGCUAAUACCGCAUACGACCUUCGGGUGAAAGCAGGGGACCUUCGGGCCUUGCGCGGAUAGAUGAGCCGAUGUCGGAUUAGCUAGUUGGCGGGGUAAAGGCCCACCAAGGCGACGAUCCGUAGCUGGUCUGAGAGGAUGAUCAGCCACACUGGAACUGAGACACGGUCCAGACUCCUACGGGAGGCAGCAGUGGGGAAUAUUGGACAAUGGGCGCAAGCCUGAUCCAGCCAUACCGCGUGGGUGAAGAAGGCCUUCGGGUUGUAAAGCCCUUUUGUUGGGAAAGAAAAGCAGUCAGCUAAUACCCGGUUGUUCUGACGGUACCCAAAGAAUAAGCACCGGCUAACUUCGUGCCAGCAG